ACUUAAAUUGAAGAGUUUGAUCAUGGCUCAGAUUGAACGCUGGCGGCAGGCCUAACACAUGCAAGUCGAGCGGUAGCACAGAGAGCUUGCUCUCGGGUGACGAGCGGCGGACGGGUGAGUAAUGUCUGGGAAACUGCCUGAUGGAGGGGGAUAACUACUGGAAACGGUAGCUAAUACCGCAUAACGUCGCAAGACCAAAGUGGGGGACCUUCGGGCCUCAUGCCAUCAGAUGUGCCCAGAUGGGAUUAGCUAGUAGGUGGGGUAACGGCUCACCUAGGCGACGAUCCCUAGCUGGUCUGAGAGGAUGACCAGCCACACUGGAACUGAGACACGGUCCAGACUCCUACGGGAGGCAGCAGUGGGGAAUAUUGCACAAUGGGCGCAAGCCUGAUGCAGCCAUGCCGCGUGUGUGAAGAAGGCCUUCGGGUUGUAAAGCACUUUCAGCGGGGAGGAAGGCGUUAAGGUUAAUAACCUUGGCGAUUGACGUUACCCGCAGAAGAAGCACCGGCUAACUCCGUGCCAGCAGCCGCGGUAAUACGGAGGGUGCAAGCGUUAAUCGGAAUUACUGGGCGUAAAGCGCACGCAGGCGGUCUGUCAAGUCGGAUGUGAAAUCCCCGGGCUCAACCUGGGAACUGCAUUCGAAACUGGCAGGCUAGAGUCUUGUAGAGGGGGGUAGAAUUCCAGGUGUAGCGGUGAAAUGCGUAGAGAUCUGGAGGAAUACCGGUGGCGAAGGCGGCCCCCUGGACAAAGACUGACGCUCAGGUGCGAAAGCGUGGGGAGCAAACAGGAUUAGAUACCCUGGUAGUCCACGCCGUAAACGAUGUCGAUUUGGAGGUUGUGCCCUUGAGGCGUGGCUUCCGGAGCUAACGCGUUAAAUCGACCGCCUGGGGAGUACGGCCGCAAGGUUAAAACUCAAAUGAAUUGACGGGGGCCCGCACAAGCGGUGGAGCAUGUGGUUUAAUUCGAUGCAACGCGAAGAACCUUACCUGGUCUUGACAUCCACAGAACUUCCCAGAGAUGGUUUGGUGCCUUCGGGAACUGUGAGACAGGUGCUGCAUGGCUGUCGUCAGCUCGUGUUGUGAAAUGUUGGGUUAAGUCCCGCAACGAGCGCAACCCUUAUCCUUUGUUGCCAGCGGUCCGGCCGGGAACUCAAAGGAGACUGCCAGUGAUAAACUGGAGGAAGGUGGGGAUGACGUCAAGUCAUCAUGGCCCUUACGACCAGGGCUACACACGUGCUACAAUGGCAUAUACAAAGAGAAGCGACCUCGCGAGAGCAAGCGGACCUCAUAAAGUAUGUCGUAGUCCGGAUUGGAGUCUGCAACUCGACUCCAUGAAGUCGGAAUCGCUAGUAAUCGUAGAUCAGAAUGCUACGGUGAAUACGUUCCCGGGCCUUGUACACACCGCCCGUCACACCAUGGGAGUGGGUUGCAAAAGAAGUAGGUAGCUUAACCUUCGGGAGGGCGCUUACCACUUUGUGAUUCAUGACUGGGGUGAAGUCGUAACAAGGUAACCGUAGGGGAACCUGCGGUUGGAUCACCUCCUUACCUUAAAGAA
RNAcentral lists this ribosomal RNA (1554 nucleotides) under Klebsiella pneumoniae subsp. pneumoniae. RNAcentral's name for it is "bacterial SSU rRNA". It matches the Rfam family "Bacterial small subunit ribosomal RNA". Lineage: Bacteria; Pseudomonadati; Pseudomonadota; Gammaproteobacteria; Enterobacterales; Enterobacteriaceae. The record is from RNAcentral.